Molecule: long non-coding RNA, 1209 nt
Organism: Lutzomyia longipalpis
Lineage: Eukaryota; Metazoa; Arthropoda; Insecta; Diptera; Psychodidae
Exons: 3
Source: RefSeq, a predicted model, not a curated record
GAAACUAAAAAGAAGUCAAAGGAAAAGUCAUCUUUGUCCUGAAAUUAUACUCAACAUAACUAAAUAUACCUGCCAGCGCUGCUGGUUUUGCUUUAAUUACCAGGUACACACAUCGUUCAUUAGGGCCCAUGCCAGGAUCCGGCCUAUACACGCUUCCGCAAAUUGGCCACACUGUGUGUGGAAGGUGAAGAAUUGACCAUACAUGCGGAAAAAAGGCCUCACGAGGAGCAACAUAUAAAUUACAAACGAAACCACAAUGUCACCGUAGUGUCAUCCUCUACUGGGGCAGCCAAAGUCAAGCAGACAUCAUCAUACGACGUACCUGACUCUCCCUCGCAUCAUGUGCGUUGGAAAUUGACGGGUGCGCGAGAUCUGCGGGGCGAUAUCACCAGAAGCGACAAGAAGUGCGCAGAGGUGACAUUCCUAUAUGGCCAUUGUGGGUCGUCAUCGUCUCGUCAUCAUUCAUUCAAUCUCACCGGAUUCAUCGUUGCCGCAAUUUAUGGAAAUAAUGCACUGCUGAGGAAGCCAGCAAAUCCGUCCAUCAGAUCCGUUCACAGCGUGACAUGACACCUCUUUUGGGCACUCAACGCGCGGGAUUUUUUUUUCUCAUUUACCUUCAUUCACCAGAGAACCACAAGAUUAUCACGUUUCUCAUUUUCACUUCAUUACAGUCUCAUUAUUCGCAUUAUUCCUUUAAGGUGGCGUCAUUUGCGGAUAAUCUCUGACUUUGGAAGUAUUUGCUGUAAGCUCAAUUUAGAGAUGCAUUGGAAAAGACUGCAGCAACACUGUGAGGAGAUUGCACUUUCAAAGGAAUUGAUCUGACUACAGGAAUAUUAUCCCUUUUGUGGGUUUGUGCUUUAUGCAAUUUCCCAAAAAUAUCUUUUCUAUUCAACAUGAACGUUUUUUUUAACUUGGAAGCUUUUUUCGUAAAACAAAUAAAAUGUGGCCGUUUUUUAACGAAUAUUAUAGUAUUUUAAAAUUUUUGAUAAAUAAAUAAGUUCAAUUUACAAAUAAAUAUUAAAAAAUUUAAAAGAAAAAGAUUAGUGUUCUUGAGUAAAGAUUUGAAUAUCUUGAUUUCUUACAAUAAAGAUUGAUUGUAAUGCAGAUUUGCAUAAACUCCUUUUCCAAAUAAAUUGAAAUUGUGUUCAUCAGUUAAAAAAAAAUUAUUUAACACAAAUUUAACUUUUAUUGCUAUACAAGAAAAUAAAA